Molecule: ribosomal RNA, 355 nt
Filed under: uncultured Enterobacter sp.
Lineage: Bacteria; Pseudomonadati; Pseudomonadota; Gammaproteobacteria; Enterobacterales; Enterobacteriaceae
Description: bacterial SSU rRNA
Rfam family: Bacterial small subunit ribosomal RNA
Source: RNAcentral
ACGCGAAGAACCUUACCUACUCUUGACAUCCAGAGAACUUUCCAGAGAUGGUUUGGUGCCUUCGGGAACUCUGAGACAGGUGCUGCAUGGCUGUCGUCAGCUCGUGUUGUGAAAUGUUGGGUUAAGUCCCGCAACGAGCGCAACCCUUAUCCUUUGUUGCCAGCGGUCCGGCCGGGAACUCAAAGGAGACUGCCAGUGAUAAACUGGAGGAAGGUGGGGAUGACGUCAAGUCAUCAUGGCCCUUACGAGUAGGGCUACACACGUGCUACAAUGGCGCAUACAAAGAGAAGCGACCUCGCGAGAGCAAGCGGACCUCAUAAAGUGCGUCGUAGUCCGGAUUGGAGUCUGCAACUCG